RNAcentral lists this ribosomal RNA (468 nucleotides) under uncultured bacterium. RNAcentral describes it as "partial 16S ribosomal RNA". It matches the Rfam family "Bacterial small subunit ribosomal RNA", at positions 28 to 507 of the family's 1533-position model. The record is from RNAcentral.
GACGAACGCUGGCGGCGGGCUUAACACAUGCAAGUCGAACGGAAAGGCGCUGCUUUUGUGGGGUGCCCGAGGGGCGAACGGGCGAGUAACACGUGCGUAAACUGCCCUUGACUUUGGGAUAACUUCAGGAAACUGGGGCGAAUACCGGAUAGGAGCUCCUGCUGCAUGGUGGGGGUUGGAAAGUUUAGGGGGAUGGGGAUUGACGAGGGGCAUAUCAGCUUGUUGGUGGGGUAGUGGCUUACCAAGGCUUUGACGGGUAGCCGGCCUGAGAGGGUGACCGGCCACAUUGGGACUGAGAUACGGCCCAGACUCCUACGGGAGGCAGCAGUGGGGAAUAUUGCACAAUGGGCGGAAGCCUGAUGCAGCAACGCCGCGUGCGGGAUGACGGCCUUCGGUUUGUAAACCGCUUUCGCCUGUGACGAAGCGUGAGUGACGGUAAUGGGUAAAGAAGCACCGGCUAACUACGUG